This 298-nucleotide ribosomal RNA is filed under the name Spinomantis sp. 2 MV-2009. RNAcentral's name for it is "partial 16S ribosomal RNA". It matches the Rfam family "Bacterial large subunit ribosomal RNA", at positions 1966 to 2412 of the family's 2925-position model. The record is from RNAcentral. Lineage: Eukaryota; Metazoa; Chordata; Amphibia; Anura; Mantellidae.
CACUUGUUCUUUAAAUAGGGACUAGUAUCAACGGCACCACGAGGGUCUCACUGUCUCCUCUCUCUAAUCAAUGAAACUGAUCUCUCCGUGAAGAAGCGGAGAUUUAACUAUAAGACGAGAAGACCCCAUGGAGCUUUAAACCUGACUACACCCCUAUCUAUUAUACCCUUAAAUCAACAGGGCCUUUGUCUGUCGGUUUUAGGUUGGGGUGACCGCGGAGCAUAAAUUAACCUCCAAGAUGAACUGGACUAACCCAUUAUCUAAGAUUUACACCUCAAAGAAUCAGCACACUGACAUA